UUAAGAGUGUAUGGUGGAUGCCUUGGGACUAAUAGGCGACGAAGGACAUGAUAUCCUGUGAUAAGCUUUGGGGAGCUGGAAAAUAGGCUUUGAUCCAGAGAUUUCCGAAUGGGGCAACCUAUUGCUAGUAAUGUAGCAAUAUUUAAGUUUCAUAAUGCUUAAAAGUAAACCUGGAGAACUGAAACAUCUUAGUACCCAGAGGAAAAGAAAACAAAUAGUGAUUCCCUAAGUAGCGGCGAGCGAACGGGGAACAGCCCAAACCAGUUGGUAGUUUUAGCAACUGGGGUUGUAGGAUAAUAAUUAAGCAAUCAGAAGUUACAAAAAUUAUUGAUAGAAGAAUUAGUUGGAAAACUAAGCCAAAGAAAGUGAAAGCCUAGUAUUCGAAAUUAAUAAUUCUUUUGAUUGUGGUUUGUUAUAAUCCUGAGUACCACGAGACACGUGAAAUCUUGUGGGAAGCAACGGGGGCCACCCCGUAAGGCUAAAUACUCAUUAGUCACCGAUAGUGAACUAGUACCGUGAGGGAAAGGUGAAAAGAACCCCGGAAGGGGAGUGAAAUAGAACCUGAAACCAUAACACUUACAAGAAGUUAAAGGGCGUUAAAGCCUAAUAGCGUGCUUUUUGCAGAACGAGCCGGCGAGUUAUAGUUAUUGGCAAGGUUAAGUUUUUUAGAAACGGAGCCACAGCGAAAGCGAGUUUUAAUAGAGCGUUAAGUCAAUAGUUAUAGACCCGAAACUAGGUGAGCUAACCAUGAGCAGGCUGAAGUUAGAAUAAAAUCUGACGGAGGGCCGAACCAGUGAUCGUUGAAACGCUCUUGGAUGACUUGUGGUUAGGAGUGAAAAGCUUAUCGAACCUAGAGAUAGCUGGUUCUCCCCGAAAUAGCUGUAGGGCUAGCGCAAGAGUUGAGAAUAGUGGGGGUAGAGCACUGAAUAUGAAAGGGUCCUUAAUCGGAUACCAUUUGUAAUCAAACUCCGAAUACCAUUAUUUAAUAUCUUGUAGUCAGUCUAUGGGGGAUAAGCUCCAUAGACGUGAGGGAAACAGCCCAGAUUAUCGGCUAAGGUCCCUAAAUAGUAUUAAGUGUAGAAGGAAGUUACAGUACAAAGACAGCCAAGAGGUUGGCUUAAAAGCAGCCAUCCUUUAGAGAGUGCGUCACAGCUCAUUGGUCGAGUACGGUAGCGCCGAGAAUGUAAGGGGGCUCAAAUACUAUACCGAAGCCAUAGGCUAGUUGGUAAUAAAAGAAUUAUUAUUAAAACACUAUCAAAAAAGUACAAAGAGAUUAGUCAUCUUUAUAAACUUGAAUUAUUAAGGUCCGGAAUCUAAACGGACGAACAGCGUGUGAAGUAAAACGAUAUAAAAGAUAUAGAGCAAUGCUAAAAAUAGACAAUCUUGAUUUUCUUUUAUUUUUAUUUAUUUUUUAGUUGUUUUAGUCUGUCCUUUUAAGGGUGUUUAAAAAUAUUUUUUUGUUGCCAACUAGCGGUAGGGGAGCGUAGUAAAAUCAUUGAAGUUAGACCGUGAGGACUAAUGGAGUUUUUACUAGUGAGAAUGCCGGCGUGAGUAACGAUAGAAGGUGAGAAUCCUUCUAGCCGUAUGACCAAGGUUUCCAGGGUGAAGGUCGUCUACCCUGGGUUAGUCGGGACCUAAGGCGAGGCCGAAAGGCGUAGUCGAUGGACAACAGGUUAAUAUUCCUGUACUCACCAUAAUUACUGAUGGAGCGACGAAGUCAGCUAAGAUAAACCAGUUAUUGAUUCUGGUCCAAGUAUAAAGAGGGUCUGGUAGGAAAAUCCGCCAGGCAUAACCUUGAAAUAUGAUGGGUAGGCAACGAAUUAUCUGAAUGCUUUACUUCCAAGAAAAACUUCUAAAGAUAUGAUUAUGGUACCCGUACCGAGAACGAACACACGUGGUCAGGGAGAAUAUCCUAAGGCUAGCGAGCAAACUAUAGUUAAGGAACUCGGCAAAUUAGCCCCGUAAGUUCGCGAGAAGGGGUGCCUAGGGCAACCUAGGUCACAGUAAAGAGGCACGAACGACUGUUUACCAAAAACACAGCUCUCUGCUAACUCGUAAGAGGAUGUAUAGGGGGUGACGCCUGCCCAGUGCUCCAAGGUUAAGAGGAAAGGUUAAUUAACAAGCAAUUGUUAAUGAAGCUUUGAAUUGAAGCCCGAGUGAACGGCGGCCGUAACUGUAACGGUCCAAAGGUAGCGAAAUUCCUUGUCAGGUAAGUUCUGACCCGCAUGAAAGGCGUAACGAUUCGUGCACUGUCUCAACUAUAGACUCGGUGAAAUCUUAGUACCGGUGAAGAUGCCGGUUACCCGCAACUAGACGGAUAGACCCCGUGGAGCUUUACUGCAGCCUGAUAUUGGGUUUUUUUCUUCUUUGUACUGGAUAGCCAUAGGUGGGAGACUGUGAGGCUAGGACGCCAGUUCUAGCGGAGUCGUCGGAGGAAUACCACUCUUAGGAGCAAAAAAUUCUAACUUGUCGGUUUACAGCCGAAAGGACAGUGUUUGGUGGGUAGUUUAACUGGGGCGGUUGCCUCCUAAAAAGUAACGGAGGCGUUCAUAAGGUAUCCUCAAUAGGUAUAGAAAUCCUAUGUAGAGCGUAAAGGUAUAAGGAUGCUUAACUGCGAGACUUACAAGUCGAGCAGAUACGAAAGUAGGACUUAGUGAUCUGGCGGUUCUUAGUGGUAAGGCCGUCACCAAACGGACAAAAGUUACCCCGGGGAUAACAGGCUAAUACUUCCCAAGAGAUCACAUCGACGGAAGUGUUUGGCACCUCGAUGUCGGCUCAUCGCAUCCUGGUGGUGAAGAAGCUACCAAGGGUUGGGCUGUUCGCCCAUUAAAGCGGUACGUGAGCUGGGUUUAGAACGUCGUGAGACAGUUUGGUCCCUAUCUGUUGUGGGCGUAGGAAAUUUGCGAAGAUCUGCUCUCAGUACGCCAGGACCAGAGUGGACUAACCAAUGAUGCACCAGUUGUCAUGUCAAUGGCACGGCUGGAUAGUUACGUUAGGAAUGGAUAAGCACUGAAAGCAUCUAAGUGCGAAGCCAACUUCAAGAUAAGAUUUCCCAUCCGUUAGGAGUAAGAUACCUUCUAGACUAGGAGGUUGAUAGGCAAUAAAUGUAAGUGUAGUAAUACAUUGAGUUUAAUUGUACUAAUUUAUCGAGGACUUAUUU
This 3160-nucleotide ribosomal RNA is filed under the name endosymbiont GvMRE of Glomus versiforme. RNAcentral describes it as "bacterial LSU rRNA". It matches the Rfam family "Bacterial large subunit ribosomal RNA". Lineage: Bacteria; Bacillati; Mycoplasmatota; Mollicutes; Mycoplasmatales. The record is from RNAcentral.